RNAcentral lists this ribosomal RNA (514 nucleotides) under uncultured bacterium. RNAcentral's name for it is "bacterial SSU rRNA". It matches the Rfam family "Bacterial small subunit ribosomal RNA", at positions 17 to 518 of the family's 1533-position model. The record is from RNAcentral.
UUCUGGCUCAGAUUGAACGCUGGCGGCAGGCCUAACACAUGCAAAUCGAACGGUAACAGGAAGAAGCUUGCUUCUUGCUGACGAGUGGCGGACGGGUGAGUAAUGUCUGGGAAACUGCCUGAUGGAGGGGGGAUAACGUACUGGAAACGGUAGCUAAUACCGCAUAACGUCGCAAGACCAAAGAGGGGGACCUUCGGGCCUCUUGCCAUCGGAUGUGCCCAGAUGGGAUUAGCUAGUAGGUGGGGUAACGGCUCACCUAGGCGACGAUCCCUAGCUGGUCUGAGAGGAUGACCCAGCCACACUGGAACUGAGACACGGUCCAGACUCCUACGGGAGGCAGCAGUGGGGAAUAUUGCACAAUGGGCGCAAGCCUGAUGCAGCCAUGCCGCGUGUAUGAAGAAGGCCUUCGGGUUGUAAAGUACUUUCAGCGGGGAGGAAGGGAGUAAAGUUAAUACCUUUGCUCAUUGACGUUACCCGCAGAAGAAGCACCGGCUAACUCCGUGCCAGCCGCAGC